This 306-nucleotide unclassified non-coding RNA is filed under the name plant metagenome. RNAcentral describes it as "partial contains 5.8S ribosomal RNA, internal transcribed spacer 2, and large subunit ribosomal RNA". The stretch from base 1 to 105 matches the Rfam family "5.8S ribosomal RNA", at positions 50 to 154 of the family's 154-position model. The record is from RNAcentral.
GAAAUGCGAUAAGUAGUGUGAAUUGCAGAAUUCAGUGAAUCAUCGAAUCUUUGAACGCACAUUGCGCCCCUUGGUAUUCCAUGGGGCAUGCCUGUUCGAGCGUCAUUUGUACCUUCAAGCUUUGCUUGGUGUUGGGUGUUUGUCUCGCCUCUGCGCGCGGACUCGCCUCAAAACAAUUGGCAGCCGGCGUAUUGAUUUCGGAGCGCAGUACAUCUCGCGCUUUGCACUCAUAACGACGACGUCCAAAAAGUACAUUUUUUACACUCUUGACCUCGGAUCAGGUAGGGAUACCCGCUGAACUUAAGC